RNAcentral lists this ribosomal RNA (370 nucleotides) under uncultured bacterium. RNAcentral describes it as "bacterial SSU rRNA". It matches the Rfam family "Bacterial small subunit ribosomal RNA", at positions 527 to 895 of the family's 1533-position model. The record is from RNAcentral.
AGAGGGGGCAAGCGUUGCUCGGAAUUACUGGGCGUAAAGGGCGUGUAGGCGGGAUGGCAAGUCGGUCGUGAAAUCCUUCGGCUCAACCGAAGAACGUCGAUCGAUACUGCUGUUCUUGAGGGUUGCAGAGGAGACUGGAAUUCCCGGUGUAGCGGUGAAAUGUGUAGAGAUCGGGAGGAACACCGGUGGCGAAGGCGGGUCUCUGGGCAAUUCCUGACGCUGAGGCGCGAAAGCGUGGGGAGCAAACGGGAUUAGAUACCCCGGUAGUCCACGCUGUAAACGAUGACGACUAGGUGUGGGGGGGUUCAGUCCCCUCCGUGCCGCAGCUAACGCAUUAAGUCGUCCGCCUGGGGAGUACGGCCGCAAGGUG